CACAAUUAGAAUCAAACAUUCGAUUGAAGCAAAAUCAAAUUCACCAUAUAGAAAUUAAAAGCAAACAUCAAGUCAUAUGAUUGAAAUCACAACUAAUAAGUCAUGACAUGAAGUUUGAGAAACUAGGGUUCUAGCCACACAUGGCUAGAACAAUAUCAAAAGUUAAAAAGAUGAAAAUAAUGUGCAAUUACAACUUACAAAUACUAGAAAUAAUGUUUCUAAAUGAUUACUGAUCAAACCCUUGCAAAAACCUUCGAAAUCUCCUCACAAAAUGUGCUCUGAUAUGUGUGUAUCUAUAAAAAUGACCCGAUUUCCGUAAUAUGAAAGAUAGGAAAAAUUGCCAAAAGUUUGUUUUUGGGUUGAACACGGCCCGUGUUCAGCAUGGUCAACAACUCCCAUUUUGGUCAACACUACCCGUGUACCCCCUGACUCCGAAUCCAAAUUUGAUUGUUCCAACUAUUUCGUUCUUCGCCUGAUCAUCCCGAAAUCUUCACUAAUGCUUCCCGACACCUCCCAAAGCGCAUUCCAAGUUCCGGAUUACCUGAGAAAGACAUGAAAGUGUGCAAAUAAGGUUGUUCUAUAGACUAACAUGAAUAUGAUGAAAUUCAAUAAAAAUGAUGAGCAAUUAUGCUAAAUAGAUGUAUGAAAAGGGACUAAAAGGUGUGCAAAAAGGUGCACAAAUUACACCUAACAUAGGUACUUCAUUCACAUGCUCUUGAUUCAUAGGAUCUUCAUUCGCAUGCUCUUGAUUCACAUGCACGUUCUCUUGAAUGGCAGACUCUUGAUUCACAUGGACAUGCUCUUGAGUCAAAGGAUCUUGAUUGACAUGUGUUGGAGCACUUAGAGCUGGAGUGCUUGGACCUACUUAUGAAGGACAGUUUCUUGCAUUACUCUCCUUUCUUACUUUACUUGAAGUGCUUGUAGUUGCCUUUACAUCCCUCCAAAAAGGUUUAAUGUAACACUUACCCUUAAACUUUUUAUGGAAGUUAGCAAGGAUGUGCCUAGCACACAACCUAUGUUCAACUUUUAGACAUCUUUCUUUCACAACCUCCAUUAUACACUACAUUGAUUUGGAAUGUUAGUUUGUGAAAAAGGUAAUUUUUGUAAAAGAUAAUUUGUGUAUAUAUGUACCUUGUCUCCAUCUGACAUCAAUGUGAUUCCAUUAUCAUUUCCCCUUCAUCUAUGUCUUCCAUUAGAUUGUUCAAGAACCACUUCCAUGUACUCUUGUUCUCAACAUUUGUUACUGCCCAGACUAUUGGGUAUAUGUUACUGUUUCUAUCCCUGCCUACUGCUGGGAUGAGCUCCCCUUUACAGAUGCCCUUCAGAAAACAUCUAUCUAUCCAAAUUACCUUCCUACACCCAUCUAACCAGUCAUCAACUCCUUUAAAGCUCAUAUAAAACCUUUCAAACACCACAAUAGAAUUAUUUUGGGGCUGCACAUACACUUCAAAACGAGAUACUGGGUUGGCCCUUUCAAGUUCAGCUCCAUAAUCCCACAACUUGGAAUAAUGAUCCUUCAAAUCACCAUCAAUUUCACACAAUGCAAAUCUUUUUGCAUUCCUACAUUGUCCAACACGAACAUUUAUGUUGAAUAACUUGGGUACCAUAGCUUUCAUCUUCCCCGUACUCAUUUUAGGGGGCUCCAAAAUAUCAGUGACAACUUGUUUCCCUAUCCACUUGUAGGUAACAAUUGACCCAAGUUUGAAUGCCUUUGAACAAAUAUGGUCUUCUCUAAGGGACUUUAUUUGAAAUGUUUGCUCAUAUUUCAUCCAGGAAGCCCACAGUCUGAAAAGGCAUUGUGGUCUUUUUCCUUUACAACACUUUACAAGCAACCUAUCCUUGUCAUUCUUCUCAUAAUACAAGUCAUAUCCAUGUGCAACUGCAUAGUUACUGAGAGAUGACUUAAGUUCAGCAGGAGAAGAGAAUCUCAUACAUAGUUCAGGCUUCAUCUUCCUCCAUUCCUGAGUAGCAUCAUGCCUAUGGUAGAUAGUUGGAAGUUCAUUGCCUUUUUCAUCUUCAUCUUCAAUAACUACUGGACAUAACUUGUUCAAAAACUUAUCAUUAUAGGUUCUUUUGAAGAUUCUUUUGCUUGAUGUAACAAUUUCAUCCUCUUCAUGUUCACGGUUCUCAUCAUUUGCCAAAACAAAGUCAACAUCUUCUUCUGAAUACAUAAGUUCUUCAUCGUCUGGUUCUUCUUUCUGAAUCCACUCAAUUAUAGGUUCAUUUUCACGGUCAAUAUACACAUCCACAUGUCUGUUAGCAUUUGCAACCUUAAGAAACUCAGAGUAGUCACAUUCAUUUUAUAGUUUUUGGAGCCCCUCACUCAAUCUCACUUCAGGUAUACAGUAAUACACAUGCUUGCACUAAAAAUCGAUAAGCUUCUCGACAUAUUUAAUGAAAUCGGAGAAAACAAACUUGUUUGCAUCUUCAUUUAGACGUAGUACUUGUGGACCAAAAUACACUAAUGGAUUAGGCACAAAGGUAUUGUUAUAGUGUACAUCGACUUUUGGAAAAACUUGGCUUUCCUCCAUUGAAUCAGAAUGGUGUAUUGAGAGAUUGAGAGAAGAGAAAGGUAAGUAAUGAGGCACUGAUCAAGAACAGAUUAAAUACAAUAGAACCCUAAUUGAUCUUCGUUCGUAAAUGAGGUUUCUUGAUAAAUGAUGGUGGAAGAGGGUAACUGUCAUGUAAACUAUCCAAACACAAAAUGACCAACUUAAUCGGAAGCAACCAGUAAUAAUGACUUAAUUUAUACACAAGAACAAGUUCAAGGGUAAAAUGUGGAUAAAAAAAUAAUGGACUAAAUGUGUACAAAACUAAUAAUAUGUUACCCUUUUAAGUCAUUAUCCCUAACUAAAAUCAACAAAGUUUGUUUAAACGAAGCUAAAGUCAAAAUUGAAACAUUUGAUAUUUCUUCAUCUUAAUAAACAAGUUGAAACCUCAAAUCAAUCAAAUCUCAAAAUCAAUUUGAAUUUCCAAGCUAUGAAUAGUCGGUCGCAACAAUAUCAAGAAUACCGUUUUUUUUACCAUCAUGGGAAAUGCAAAUAAUUGGUUAGCUAAUUUCAAUUGUAAUCCUGAUUAUAUCACAUACUAAUACUUAAUACUUGAUACCGCUACAGUUACAACAUACUUCCCAAUUCCCAUAACAUUAUCACAAUUGAUAUAGAAAAAUCUUUUAUGGUUGCAAUAGAGGGCACAAACGAUCAUACAUGUAUUGGUUAAUUGUAGAUUAUUAUUCAACUGACAAUUUGGAUUUACAACAAAAAACUAUUUUCUAAAGUUAGUUUAUCUAAAUUCCAUCGAAUGUUGUAUACAAGGAAAAAAAAACUUUGGAACUAUAUGAUUUAUGUAUGUUCUUUUUGUUAAUUUGAACAAUACUGUUUUAUUACUUAAAUAUGUAUUUAUCUAAAUUCCAUCAACAUGUUGUAGUUAUUUACAAGUUUUUUUGAAAAUAUAUGAUUUAUGUCUGUUUAUUUUUGUUAUUUUGAAUAAUAUUGCUUUAUUUAAGCGUAAGCAUUUAUUUUGCUCACAUUCUUUUGGAAAAAUAUCUAUCAUUUUAGAAUUCUAUUGGAAAAUGUCUAUAUGCUUUUAGAAAACUUCAGUGUUUACUUAUUUUUGUUUUACGUUUUCUUUUUAUUAAUUCACAUUUAAUAUUUCUUAUCAUUUUGAAUAUUAUUGAUUUAUUACUUAAAUUCAUGGUUCUAAAAUGCAUGUCAUGGCGUGAGGCAUGAUGUAGCCGUUACGAAAACGUCAUAGACGGGUUUGUUAAGCGUGGUGACCAAAUACCGUGUCAAAACGCACCUUAUCGCAUUAGGGUGCGGGUUUUUUCCAAGGCGCGGAAUUUUUUGUUUUUUGUUUUCUCAUCGGGCCUAAAAAUAUUGAAUUUUUGUUAACUUUUCUAUAUUAAAUGAUAAUAUAACACUUCUAAAAACUUGAUAUAUUUGACAUAAUUCUAUAACGAUAUGAUUUAUAUUUUUUAAUGUAUAUAAAGUUAUCAUGCCUAGAAAAACGAAAUGGCUUGUCAAGGCUUAAGUUUGACCUUACCGUCAAGCCACGGCUCAUGUCAUUUAGAACCUUGCUUAAAAUACAUAUUCAUUUGUAAUUUCAAUCUCAUCUUAUAUGUUUGCAAAUUAUUAUUAUUAUUACUAUUAUUAUUAUUAUUUUUUUUUUUUUAAGUUUCAAUGUUGUUUUUAGUUUUAUUAACGGUGUAGUAUAUGAGUUAUAACCUAGUAUACAAUUAAGAAUUUUUUUACAUCUGGAUUUGGUAUGCGUCAAUCUUCGAAGUUGUGUAUAAUUUAGAUAAUCUAAUCAAUCGAGCUUUUCAAUUUGCUUUGGAAAUGAACUAUUUUUAACGGGUUAAGUCAAAUUCAACUAUCCACAACCAAUAAACUAGUACAAACUAUUUUUUUACAAGUUCUAUCACAACUGUUCUACCUGAUUUUGAAAAAUCAUUUAGUUUCAUCCAAUCUAGAAAUUGGUAUAUAACAAUUAGGAAGACGAUUAUUUUUCAUUUGUUGUAAUUAUCGUUAAUAAUAUAUAAUUGUGGAAAGUUAGGAGGGUGCUUAUGUAAACCACAUUUAACAAUGUUUUAAAAAUCGGUUUGAGUGGGCCGGUUAAACCGGUUGGCCGGAAACCAGGAAAGAUAGCGGUUUAACUAUCACCAGUUUUAUGACUAUUUAUGAACCCGAACGAACCAACCGGUUUUACAAAAAUCCGGUUGAACCAAUUAAAUUGAAUAAAAACAAAUGGAAAAUAACCAUUAUGCAUAAUAAACUUAGGUGAUAUUUUUCACACGUAUUUAAGUUUCUCUAAAUAAAAAUAUAUAUUAAAUUUUAUGAAUUUUUUAAUGCAUUUGUAUUCAUUUAAAACUAUAUUUUGUAUCGGUAUUAUAUAUAUAUAUAUUUUUUUGAUGUAUGUGAACAAAUAUAAAACUUAUAGUUAUAUGUUAUUUUAAUAUAUUUGAGUUGAUCUACAAUUUGUUUAUAUAUGUAUUUUUAAUGUUUGAAGAUGUAAAAGUCAAAAUUUAAUUUAUGUAUGUGUAGGGAAAUGAAAAAAAAAUAAAAGAUUAUAAAAACUGAUUGACUCAUUGGUUGAAACGGUUAAACCGGAAAUCAAUUAUCAUAACGAUUCAACUAAAUUCAACUAAAACUAGUUUUUAAAACUUAAUUUAAUUUUUUUCAAAAAUUAAUAUGCUGUUGCCCUAAAUCCUAAUCAAUCCUCAUCACUAAUAAGUUCUAACUUCUAUGUAAGGCCCGUGGGGGGUUAUUUUGGGCUUGAUAUUAGAAACCCUAACCCAUCUAUCGUAUAUGCUUAUAUAUACAAGCAUCGACGGCCGAUGUUUCUAUGUUAGAUUUCUUUCAUCUUCUUGGCCGAUUUCAUAUUUAAUUAUCCUUUCUUUAUUUCUGGCCGCUAUUGUUUUGUUUUUGUUUCUUCGAUCGAUUGAAUUUCGAUUUUUGAUUUACAUUAUUUUUUGUUUUGAUGUUUGCCUCUUCAAUUUUUUUUUACGUCAAGGAAUCAAAGGAUCCGUGUACAAAUAAGCCGAUGCUCUGGAUAUAUGUGAUGAAGGUAGCAUGGUAAUGUGCACGGAGAUCAAGUAACUUUUAGGUCGUCAUGUCUGCUCCCACUGAUUUUCUCUGAUUUGGGGGCCUGGAUUAAACCUACAUUUUUAUACAUAAACUGCUUCUGCCGUUUUGUCUUCCACAAUCUUCAAAUUACCUAUUGAUUCCUAUUCUCUAAGUUUAGAUUUAUGUAAAUUAAACUGUAGUUAUCAUAACCGUUUGCCAAAAUUAAAAGGGUUUUAACCUGAUGUAUAAAAGCAGGGAUCUAUUGCCAAAUUAUAAAGUGAAUCGAUCUCUCGUAAACAUCAGGGAAAUAGAGCUGGGCAUCGUUAUUGGGUGAACCUCUUGAAUUCUUACAUGAUGGACAAGGUUCAGUAAACGAAGCUAUAUUUUUUUUAAAAAAAUAUCGUAUAAUUUACCAUCUAAGCGUGCUAGGUUGUUUAACCUUAUAUUGAGUGGUUUUUUUAUUUAUAAAAUUUUUAUUAUAAUUUACAGAAAAUCUUCGGAGUUGAAAUUUAAAAUCCACAAUAAGAAUAAGGUAAAAGAAUGAUAAUACCUGUUUGUUUUGUAAUACUAUGUCUCAAAAAAGUUAAUAACGAACUAAAUAACAAAGUUUGUUUAGGUUUUAUUAUGGUGCUUUUCUGAGGGUAACAAGUUUGUGGUUGUGGAGGCGAGGUUAUCUAUAAUAUAUAGUAACAACAUUGUUUUGUUUAUUCACAAGAUAAACAGUGUAUCUCAUUACAUCAUUUCCAACCUAUUUUCGUUUUUUCCCUCAUAAAUGGAGUAAAUGAGUAAAUGGAAGCAUAAAUGGAGUAAAUGGAGUAAAUAGUAUUUCAUUUCCAACUCUAUUUUAUUUUCUAUCUUAUCUUUUAUUUCAAAAAAUAUAUUUUUAGAACAUUUUAUUUUUAUAAUUUAUAUAUAUUGUCUAAUACAUCCUUUUAUUAAUUAAACUCUAAAUUUAUGAUUAAUUAUUAUAAAUUAAUAUAUAAAAUGAUAUUAUAAAUAUUAAAUAUUGCAUUUAAAUUAUAAUUAGCAGAUAAAAUAAAUUAGAAAUGUAUAAAUUAAAAAUAAAAGAGACUAAAAUUGACAACCAAACUUUAUCUUUAUUUUUGGGUAACACCAGAAGGAGCUUAAUAUAUAAGCUUCAAUAUAUACUGGUAUCUUGUACGCAUCUUAAUAAAUUAUAAAUAUUGGUUUAUGCAUUUUAUCAAACAUAUAACAUGCAUUAGGAGCCCCAAAAGCUAAAAAAGUUUGUGACUUUAAAAAUUUUCCAAUUCCACAUCAGUCAUCUGUUAUAGCACUACCAACAAACUUUUUUUAUGAUUAUAAACAUGGAUUUUAUAAAACAUAAUAUGAAAUUGGACUUACGAGUAGGUAGGUUGCAAUCGAUCAUCUCUUACCAGCAGGUUGAAAUUGAACCUAUCAUUUCUAUCCUCCUUGAAAUUGAGCACAAGUCUAAUAAAAAAAGAGAAAUAUGAUGAAACAGAGCACAUGGCUUAACUUUAUUGAGAAAUUUUCAGAAUUUAACGAAAAUCAAGGUACCUAAUGAGUUUUUGAGAAGAUGAACAAAACAGAAAAAUUGGAAAAUAAAAAAACCGUAAGUGAAAGAGGAGAAGAUCAACAUACCUUAUGCGUGAUGAGAAGAAGGGUGUUGAUUGGUGGGGGGGCAUGUUCAAAUCGUUAGUCUUAAAGGAUCUUGGUUGCCUCUAAAAGAGGAUGAGAUGAUAUCUUUUCAAAGGCGUUGGAAAGAAAUUGUAGGGCAAGGGUAGAUUAGGAAUAAUUCUCAGUCAACUAUUGUUCUCAAGCUUUCUUGCUCAAAUUUCUCUUAUCCAGUCAGCCAUCCAAAAUCGGUUAACAAACAAUCUCAGAGUCAGCCAAAUACGUAUGACCCGACUCGGUCAUACGUAUAUCAAACAACCCCUUAAUUCUAAUUUUUAGAAAAUUUGUUUUCAUUGUAAAAGUUUUCAAACCCUCGAUUUGAGUCAUGCACCCUCGAAGGUGUGUCUGUAUGAUAUCAACUUGUAAGAUAUCAACUUGUAAUAUCUGAAAAUUUAAGAUCAAAAAUUUCAUUUUAAAUUAAAUAAUUAUAAAAAAACAUUCAUAGUAUUAACUC
Molecule: long non-coding RNA, 7668 nt
Filed under: Lactuca sativa (garden lettuce)
Lineage: Eukaryota; Viridiplantae; Streptophyta; Magnoliopsida; Asterales; Asteraceae
Description: long non-coding RNA (LSAT_LNC006097)
Rfam family: Small nucleolar RNA snoR74 (bases 5807-5947)
Source: RNAcentral